This 245-nucleotide ribosomal RNA is filed under the name uncultured Pseudomonadota bacterium. RNAcentral describes it as "uncultured proteobacterium partial 16S ribosomal RNA". It matches the Rfam family "Bacterial small subunit ribosomal RNA", at positions 524 to 768 of the family's 1533-position model. Lineage: Bacteria; Pseudomonadati; Pseudomonadota. The record is from RNAcentral.
UACGGAGGGUGCGAGCGUUAAUCGGAAUCACUGGGCGUAAAGCGCAUGUAGGCCGUGUGGCAAGUUAGGGGUGAAAUCCCAGGGCUCAACCUUGGAACUGCCUCUAAAACUACCAUGCUUGAGUGCGAGAGAGGAUAGCGGAAUUCCAGGUGUAGGAGUGAAAUCCGUAGAUAUCUGGAAGAACAUCAGUGGCGAAGGCGGCUAUCUGGCUCGUAACUGACGCUGAGAUGCGAAAGCGUGGGUAG